RNAcentral lists this long non-coding RNA (245 nucleotides) under Elaeis guineensis (African oil palm). RNAcentral describes it as "long non-coding RNA (EGUI_LNC047210)". Lineage: Eukaryota; Viridiplantae; Streptophyta; Magnoliopsida; Arecales; Arecaceae. The record is from RNAcentral.
GCCCAAGGGUUGAACUUUCCUAUCGGGCCUAGGUUGAGCCUAGACUAGGUCAGGAUUUUCCUGUUGGACUAGGCUAGGUUGAACCUGGUUUAGUUGUAUCAUAUGCCAAUUUAAGCCCAAAUUUGGCCCAACUAAUUUGGGUUCUUUUUAAUGGCUUGAACUCGGCCUUGGUUUCAUUUGUUGGAUACUUGGGCUAUUUUUGCCGGCCCGGUCCAUUGACAUUCCAACUAACUGCAAGCAAGCCG